CAUAAAAUUAGGUGUUUCAUCUUCUGUUCUUUUGUUUUAGGAGAAAAAUGUAAGAAUGUGUUAUAGUCUCUUCUAACUUGUAAAUUGGUAGCCAGACACUCUGACCAGAUGGCAACACCCCAGUGAAUAAGGUUAUCUGAAGUUGGAGUUCUUCAUGCUCUGUGGAAACUGUAGUAUAUAGAACUCCAGCAUUUUCCUGACAAACAUCAAAGCUACUUUGGAUCUGGGGUUGACUUCACGUCCCUCAAAGAGCAUUUCAAAUGGCAAUCUUCAGACUGCAAAGAAAACUUGGGGUCUCUCUACCCAAUUAUUCUGCACCAGGACUGCUCAGCCACUGUCCGAGAUGAUCAAUCCUGAACCUAACACCAUAAAAUAUUCAAUCGCUCCAUACCUUGGCCUGCUCUCUGGGCAUUCCCAAAAGCUAUUAGGCAGGGCCGAGCAAGACACAGUGGGAAGGAGGACUACUCAGUUUCACAUGUUAAACCUCCAGUGAGAUGAAGAGGGUUCUGCACUAAGGUCCUGUGCCUUACUCCAAGAAGUGUUUCUCACCAGCGAUUAACAGGAUGCAACACACAAAAAGGGCUAGUGAAUCUGUUUGUUACAGUCUACUUACUAAGGCUAUGGCUACAAUACUCCAGUGCUGAAGUCAGUGAAAAGGCAUCAUCCAAACACAAUCCAAGGAAAAUGCAAGCUGAUACAGCACAAAGAUGCUUUGUUUAAGAAUGGCAGAAAUUUCCAGCAACUAUCUGGGAGAAAAAAAAUGCAGGAUGGGAGGGAAUGUAAUCAAAUAACAAAACAAACCCAAACUAAAAGAGAAUCUUUAUAAACCAGCACAAGGACACUUUGUUUUUAAGUGCACACAAUGAAUUUUAAAGAUCUUUGUUCAGAAGGGAAAUAAAGUAUUAUGAAGGACUGACACAUUUGAUGGAUGGAUGGUUUCUGAAAAACCACAUUAUCAAUUACUUUUUCCUUGUUUGGCUCCAGUCCAGUAAUUUUUAUUUGAACAAGCCACAUGCUAGCAUGGUUUUGAUUGCAGGAAGUGACUGGUUGUUGUUAAAGGAUACUAUUUCACUGAUGAGCUUAUCUCUUCCUUCCCCCUCCCCUUUCUGAUGGGACUCCGAUAUGAAAGGCACAGCUUCAGUUGUUAUAAACAGAGUCAGGGAUUGUUUGAUAGACCCACCCGUGUUUUGCUUUCAGCCUUCUGUGGUACAAUCCAGACAAUGUAUUCAGCAGGGCUUCAGAAAAAAACAGUUGAA
Non-coding RNA from Macaca mulatta (Rhesus monkey), 1256 nucleotides. The record is from RefSeq and is a predicted model, not a curated record. NCBI's taxonomy places the organism in Eukaryota, Metazoa, Chordata, Mammalia, Primates, Cercopithecidae.